Molecule: ribosomal RNA, 491 nt
Filed under: uncultured bacterium
Lineage: Bacteria
Description: partial 16S ribosomal RNA
Rfam family: Bacterial small subunit ribosomal RNA
Source: RNAcentral
AGUGAACGCUGGCGGUAGGCCUAACACAUGCAAGUCGAACGGCAGCACAGUAAGAGCUUGCUCUUACGGGUGGCGAGUGGCGGACGGGUGAGGAAUACAUCGGAAUCUACUUUUUCGUGGGGGAUAACGUAGGGAAACUUACGCUAAACCGCAUACGACCUACGGGUGAAAGCAGGGGAUCUUCGGACCUUGCGCGAUUGAAUGAGCCGAUGUCGGAUUAGCUAGUUGGCGGGGUAAAGGCCCACCAAGGCGACGAUCCGUAGCUGGUCUGAGAGGAUGAUCAGCCACACUGGAACUGAGACACGGUCCAGACUCCUACGGGAGGCAGCAGUGGGGAAUAUUGGACAAAGGGCGCAAGCCUGAUCCAGCCAUACCGCGUGGGUGAAGAAGGCCUUCGGGUUGUAAAGCCCUUUUGUUGGGAAAGAAAAGCAGCAGGUUAAUACCCCGCUGUUCUGACGGUACCCAAAGAAUAAGCACCGGCUAACUUCGUG